This 204-nucleotide unclassified non-coding RNA is filed under the name Glomus sp. Its description in RNAcentral is "partial contains 5.8S ribosomal RNA and internal transcribed spacer 2". The stretch from base 1 to 65 matches the Rfam family "5.8S ribosomal RNA", at positions 84 to 154 of the family's 154-position model. Lineage: Eukaryota; Fungi; Glomeromycota; Glomeromycetes; Glomerales; Glomeraceae. The record is from RNAcentral.
GUGAAUCAUCGAAUUUUUGAACGCAAAUUGCACUCUCUUCGGAGAGUAUGCCUGUUUGAGGGUCAGCCUAAAAAGAAUCGACAUAGUUGCUGUUUCGCGGUGACAUUCGUCGGAAAUUGGGUCAUCUUAACCCUUUGGUUUUUAAGCGCCUUAAAUUUUUUUUUCCGUUCCCACGAACGUUUCUAAGUUUUUCUUCUUUCCCCU